ACUAAGGUCUGUAAUUUCCACCCUACCCAGACAAUGUGUAAACUAACUAAUGCUUAUCUUGACUUCUGUGAACCACUUAUGUAACAAUCGAAAUGUCCAAAGACCCUCACCCCCACCCAGGAGGUGGUUUAUGGGCAUAAAAGAUCUUGACACCCUCCUUUCAGGGCCGCGGGUUAGAGAGAGGUGAGUCCUCCAUGGCCACCGGCAAUAAAAACCCUAUAAUUUGGCCUA
Molecule: long non-coding RNA, 231 nt
Organism: Sapajus apella (tufted capuchin)
Lineage: Eukaryota; Metazoa; Chordata; Mammalia; Primates; Cebidae
Exons: 2
Source: RefSeq, a predicted model, not a curated record